This 460-nucleotide ribosomal RNA is filed under the name uncultured bacterium. RNAcentral's name for it is "partial 16S ribosomal RNA". It matches the Rfam family "Bacterial small subunit ribosomal RNA", at positions 338 to 795 of the family's 1533-position model. The record is from RNAcentral.
CCUACGGGAGGCAGCAGUGAGGAAUAUUGGUCAAUGGGCGCUAGCCUGAACCAGCCAAGCCGCGUGAAGGAUGACGGCCCUAUGAGUUGUAAACUGCUUUUGUACGGGGGUAAAGUCCAGUACGUAUACUGCUUUGCAUGUACCGUACGAAUAAGGAUCGGCUAACUCCGUGCCAGCAGCCGCGGUAAUACGGAGGAUUCAAGCGUUAUCCGGAUUUAUUGGGUUUAAAGGGAGCGUAGGCGGUCGGAUAAGUUAGUGGUGAAAUCUCGAGGCUCAACUUCGGAAUUGCCUCUGAUACUGGUCGCCUAGAGAGUAGUUGAGGUAGGCGGAAUGCAUGGUGUAGCGGUGAAAUGCUUAGAGAGCAUACAGAACACCGAUUGCGAAGGCAGCUUACCAAGCUACUACUGACGUUGAGGCACGAAAGCGUGGGGAGCAAACAGGAUUAGAUACCCGUGUAGUC